UGCGAGACCGAUAGCGAACAAGUACCGUGAGGGAAAGAUGAAAAGAACUUUGAAAAGAGAGUUAAAGAGUACCUGAAACUGCUGAAAGGGAAUCGAAUCGUUUCCAGUGUCUAUAAUCCGUGGCAUAUUUCAUUGGCGUGUGGGUGCGUGUAUCGUUUUGGAAGGGGUUUCCUCUCCAUACGUUAUUGUGCGCUCGCUUGCUGGUGCCCUGUGCUGUGGUGGGACGUCAGAGUCAGUUUGUGUGUCGCGGGAAAUGGUUAUUGGGGAGGUAGGUCGCUUCGGUGGCUAUUAUAUCCUGGUAACUAGUCGUCGUGGCUGAGACUGAGGUGCCUACAAUGUGCUUUCGAGUGUGCGGGUUUCUCGUGUGGCUGUUUGCUUUGAUAGCUUGCUAUGUUGGUGAAUAAGUUGUGCGAUUGAGACCUGUAUUAACUUGUUGCUGUUCGGGACUUUGAA
Molecule: ribosomal RNA, 453 nt
Filed under: uncultured Oomycota
Lineage: Eukaryota; Oomycota
Description: LSU rRNA
Rfam family: Eukaryotic large subunit ribosomal RNA
Source: RNAcentral